GACAGAGGGUGCAAACGUUGUUCGGAUUUACUGGGCGUAAAGGGUCUGUAGGUGGCCAACUAAGUCAGACGUGAAAUCCCUCAGCUUAACUGGGGAACUGCGUCUGAUACUGGAUGGCUUGAGUGUGGGAGAGGAAUGCGGAAUUCCAGGUGUAGCGGUGAAAUGCGUAGAUAUCUGGAGGAACACCGGUGGCGAAGGCGGCAUUCUGGACCAUAACUGACACUGAGAGACGAAAGCCAGGGGAGCAAACGGG
Molecule: ribosomal RNA, 253 nt
Filed under: uncultured bacterium
Lineage: Bacteria
Description: partial 16S ribosomal RNA
Rfam family: Bacterial small subunit ribosomal RNA
Source: RNAcentral